CCUGGCUCGCGAGUUGUUGUUUGUUGUCCCUAAACCGCCGCCGGGUCGUCCCUUUAUAUACACAGGUUGACGCCCGGCGGUCUACGGAAUCCCGAGGCUGGCUCAUAAACGUGUCCAGCUCGGUUUCUACCUUUCUUAUCUUACAACACAAGUUACAUAUGAUAUGGCGGUUUAUGUCUACAGGCCAUAACCCCCUCUGGGCCCUGGGCCUUCGUAAAGCGCCAUACUCCUUGUCUUCAUUGGCUUCAAAUAUAAAUAAUUCAUUUUGGGGGUAACCCAGCCUCUCUCGGCCGGUUUAUACCCAGUAGUAAUAUCCCCAACAGGUUCUAUAAGAUAGACAAGAUCAAGGGCUCCAAUGGGCAAACUGGCGGCUCGAAGAACUCACUGGGAAGAUGAGCAAGUGCAAGCGAUAUAUGCCAUGGCUUCUUGCAGCUUAAUCAAAGAAUUUGAUCGUGUCUCAAAGAUGAAGAGAAAAGGAAUACUUCUGAGGCCAACAAACAACUAAAUGUCAGGAAGCAAUUUAUGGUACCAAAGUAGCCUUGCAAUAAGAGGAUUGAACUAUUCGAUGCCGGUAAUGACCAGUUUUUGCAGAAAUGUCAAAUCAACAACUCAUUCAUUCUGGAAUGAAACAAAUGGACCAAACAGACCAAGAUAUUGAGCAUUCGAAAACGGCGCACUACAAACUUACACUCUCUUUUGUUCUUCAUUCUUUCAUAAGAUUGAAAUUCAAGUUGCUCUAGGAUUCCUUGCUAAUGAACGACAUGCGCAUAAAGUGACAAAUACCCAAUCUAAUUGAUAAGCUGGCUAUCCAUGUACACACAAUAUUCAAUUUUUUAUAGUCUAUAAGUGGUGCGGAAGUGAAAGCAUCUGUGAGUGCAUGUAGAUAUAUUUUGUUAACCUUUUUUUGGUUACCAAACUCCGUGUGUAAGGUAUGAGAGGACGAUGUAAAAUUUCUUUUAAAAACAAUUUUCGUUAUGCGCACCUCUGCCCAGAUUGAGUAUGGUGGUACUAAAAAGUGAUGCUCUAUUGUUCGUCUAUGUUAUGGAGUUGGUUCUUUUGAAGUUAAAGUAGCAUGUGUUUGUACGGUAAUCUUCUCGGUUUUUAAGCUUCGUCUACAAACAUAUAUGCCACCCACUUUCAGAUUUCAGUGUAGGCUUAUAGGGGGUGGAUCAUUGGGCUGUGUUCAGAAUUAGGGCUUGAGAGAAAGAAAAUAAUUAAAUACCAGGUUGUAUAGAGUU
Long non-coding RNA from Aegilops tauschii subsp. strangulata, 1238 nucleotides. RefSeq lists it as uncharacterized. NCBI's taxonomy places the organism in Eukaryota, Viridiplantae, Streptophyta, Magnoliopsida, Poales, Poaceae. The record is from RefSeq and is a predicted model, not a curated record.